GGUGGCUCAGUGGUAGAGCGCAUGCCUUGCAUGCAUAAGGCCCUGGGUUCAAUUCCUCAGCACCA
This 65-nucleotide transfer RNA is filed under the name Dipodomys ordii (Ord's kangaroo rat). It matches the Rfam family "tRNA". Rfam says of the family: Transfer RNA (tRNA) molecules are approximately 80 nucleotides in length. Their secondary structure includes four short double-helical elements and three loops (D, anti-codon, and T loops). The record is from Rfam by way of RNAcentral. Lineage: Eukaryota; Metazoa; Chordata; Mammalia; Rodentia; Heteromyidae.